This 253-nucleotide ribosomal RNA is filed under the name uncultured bacterium. RNAcentral describes it as "partial 16S ribosomal RNA". It matches the Rfam family "Bacterial small subunit ribosomal RNA", at positions 524 to 776 of the family's 1533-position model. The record is from RNAcentral.
UACGAAGGGGGCUAGCGUUGCUCGGAAUCACUGGGCGUAAAGCGCACGUAGGCGGAUUGCUAAGUCAGGGGUGAAAUCCUGGAGCUCAACUCCAGAACUGCCUUUGAUACUGGCGAUCUUGAGUCCGGGAGAGGUGAGUGGAACUGCGAGUGUAGAGGUGAAAUUCGUAGAUAUUCGCAAGAACACCAGUGGCGAAGGCGGCUCACUGGCCCGGUACUGACGCUGAGGCGCGAAAGCCAGGGGAGCAAACAGG